UUUCAUCUUCCUGUACCAUUUUCCUCUCUUCUCUGAAAGCCCUGAGCCAGCGUAUUUUUUCCUCCAGCUUCUUGGCAAAGAACAGAUGUAUCUCCUCAGUCUCCUUGUUGUGAAGCUUAAAGGCAUUCUUCAUGCUGACAUUGAAGUCAUCAUCUCUGCCAUCCUCAAUGUCAACUACCUCAUAUUUAUCCAUGUCAAUGCGGCCUUUGUAGUACAGGAUGUCUCUCCGGAUUAGGUCCUA
Molecule: long non-coding RNA, 241 nt
Filed under: Homo sapiens (human)
Lineage: Eukaryota; Metazoa; Chordata; Mammalia; Primates; Hominidae
Description: HSALNT0283087
Source: RNAcentral